GAUGAACGCUGGCGGCGUGCCUAAUACAUGCAAGUCGAGCGAACAGACGAGGAGCUUGCUCCUCUGACGUUAGCGGCGGACGGGUGAGUAACACGUGGAUAACCUACCUAUAAGACUGGGAUAACUUCGGGAAACCGGAGCUAAUACCGGAUAAUAUAUUGAACCGCAUGGUUCAAUAGUGAAAGACGGUUUUGCUGUCACUUAUAGAUGGAUCCGCGCCGCAUUAGCUAGUUGGUAAGGUAACGGCUUACCAAGGCAACGAUGCGUAGCCGAACUGAGAGGGUAAUAGGCCACACUGGAACUGAGACACGGUCAAGACUCCUAAGGGAGGCAGCAGUAGGGAAUCUUCCGCAAUGGGCGAAAGCCUGACGGAGCAACGCCGCGUGAGUGAUGAAGGUCUUCGGAUCGUAAAACUCUGUUAUUAGGGAAGAACAAAUGUGUAAGUAACUAUGCACGUCUUGACGGUACCUAAUCAGAAAGCCACGGCUAACUACGUG
This 497-nucleotide ribosomal RNA is filed under the name uncultured bacterium. RNAcentral describes it as "partial 16S ribosomal RNA". It matches the Rfam family "Bacterial small subunit ribosomal RNA", at positions 28 to 507 of the family's 1533-position model. The record is from RNAcentral.